CGGCCUCCGAUCGGUCAGUCAUCGGCCUUUCAUCGGCCACUGUACCGGCCGCCGAUCUCCGGCGCCGGCACCACCGUAUGCGGUGGCCGGGAAAAUCUCCCUUUUAGCCUUCUCGACACCCUUAUGCCCAAAUUCGGGCUUAAAUCCUUCAAAACGCCAGCAAGGAGGUUCCAAAACAACACGAAACCUUUCGAUUUUCGGCCACCGAUCCUCGGGGGUGACUCCCUCGGCCGUCGUACGGCGUUUCCAAGGAGAAAAGGUUGUUUCCCUCCUUUAUUCUGAUUUAUAAAAGUAUAUAAAAAAUAAAUAAAUAAUAAAAUAGAAUAGAAAACAACCUUAGAUUUCGUUUGUUUCGCUGUUUGUGUUGUAAAAAUUGUGCCUUUUUUAUUGAUUUCAAAUCGGGAUCUCUAUUACAGUAUGCUCAAUGGCCUCUUAUAGCAGUAUGAAACAAAUCUAAAAAGGAAAGAAAUCUGUUCUUGAUUUGAUUUACAAAUAUUGUUGAUUCCCUUUCCAUUUCAUUUUUCUUGCUAUGCAGGUGAAUCCAUGGAGAUUCGGCCAAGAUUGGAGUUGCGACGCUGUUGAGGACUAGAAACCCUAGGGUUUCGGCAAUUUUGGGCCACCGUACAUUGGGCCAGUGUUUUAUUUUGGUUUGGACCCCAUUUUGUUGUAGUUGGGCAGUUUCAUUUGGGCCCGUUUAUAAUUUGUACCCGGGGCAAAGAAUCGGGUAUUACAACCUUCAAUACUUGUCUUUAAUGUCUCAUAAC
Molecule: long non-coding RNA, 764 nt
Filed under: Gossypium raimondii (Peruvian cotton)
Lineage: Eukaryota; Viridiplantae; Streptophyta; Magnoliopsida; Malvales; Malvaceae
Description: long non-coding RNA (GRAI_LNC001051)
Source: RNAcentral